Molecule: RNA transcript, 1086 nt
Organism: Physcomitrium patens
Lineage: Eukaryota; Viridiplantae; Streptophyta; Bryopsida; Funariales; Funariaceae
Source: RefSeq, a predicted model, not a curated record
CAGAGCAGAAGGAAACCCUAGAGUGAGUGGAGGAGUGAAUGUGUGGGAUCAGUUGCAGCGCAUGAGCAGAGGAGAAUCGGAAGUGGAAAGUAGGGCAGGGCAGUUGCAAUCUGCAGCAGCAGCAGCAGUUAUGGCGAACGACUUGGUGCUGGACACACAGAUCCGCGACUGGGUGCUUGCGCCCUUGUCGAUCGUGAUGGUGCUCAUCGGCGUGCUGCGCCAUUUCGUCACGAAAAUGAUGCGCACCACGCCUAACCCCGAUCUAAAGGCCGUCAAGGAGGGCCAGAUCGUGCUGCGAGCUCGGUUCCUGAGAGCAAGCGCGAACUACCUCCCCGCGAGGUCGUUCCAGAUGCGCAAAGCGUACUACAACAACGAGGAGAAUGGUUUGUUGCACGUGCCCAAGGGGCAGGGUAACGACAUGCAAGCGCAGAUGUUCUCGGACCCUAACAUGGCCAUGGACAUGAUGAAGAAGAACCUAUCGAUGAUCAUCCCGCAGUCGCUCACGUUCGCGUGGGUGAACUUCUUCUUUUCCGGGUUUGUGGCGGCCAAAAUCCCGUUCCCGCUCACGCAGCGGUUCCGGUCCAUGCUGCAGAAUGGGAUUGAUCUGAGCUCCGUGGAUGUUAGCUACGUGAGUAGUAGGUCGUGGUACUUCUUGAACCUGUUUGGGCUGCGUGGUCUGUUCAAUUUGAUCCUCGGGGAGGAGAAUGCGGUGGACGAUGCGCAGAGGAUGAUGCAGACGCAGAUGGCGAUGCAGAUGGGCGGAUUUGGGGCGGACCCUGCGAAGACACUCGGUGCGGAGAAGGAUGGAUUGGACUUGGUGCAGCAUGAGUGGGUGGCCGUCAGGAGCGAGCAACUCGCGGAAUCUGUGCUGAGGCGCUUGUUGAAGACCUAGACCUAAUUUCACAUUUUUUUUUUUUUUGGGUUCUUCUAAUUUUUUUCUUUAGCACAAAGAAUUUAGGGUUUGUCUGUAAUCAUAUGAAACAUUGAAUAGAGAUAUUACAUUUUAGCGACGAGCAUUCAUAUCUGACACUGUAAAUAAGCCUUGUGGAUUAAGAGAAGAUAUAGAGUUUAUCAUCAUUCUUUGCA